CCUACGGGGGGCAGCAGUGGGGGAUAUUGCACAAUGGGGGAAACCCUGAUGCAGCGACGCCGCGUGUGGGAAGACGGUCCUCUGGAUUGUAAACCACUGUCCCCAGGGACGAAGAUGACGGUACCUGGGGAGGAAGCUCCGGCAAACUACGUGCCAGCAGCCGCGGUAAUACGUAGGGAGCGAGCGUUGUCCGGAAUUACUGGGUGAAAAGGGAGCGUAGGCGGGACUGCAAGUUGGGUGUCAAAUCUACCGGCUCAACCGGUAGCCGCACUCAAAACUGCAGUUCUUGAGUGAAGUAGAGGCAGGCGGAAUUCCUAGUGUAGCGGUGAAAUGCGUAGAUAUUAGGGGGAACACCAGUGGCGAAGGCGGCCUGCUGGGCUUUUACUGACGCUGAGGCUCGAAAGUGUGGGGAGCAAACAGGAUUAGAUACCCUAGUAGUC
Molecule: ribosomal RNA, 440 nt
Filed under: uncultured bacterium
Lineage: Bacteria
Description: partial 16S ribosomal RNA
Rfam family: Bacterial small subunit ribosomal RNA
Source: RNAcentral